This 465-nucleotide ribosomal RNA is filed under the name uncultured bacterium. RNAcentral's name for it is "bacterial SSU rRNA". It matches the Rfam family "Bacterial small subunit ribosomal RNA", at positions 338 to 795 of the family's 1533-position model. The record is from RNAcentral.
CCUACGGGAUGCACCAGUGGGGAAUAUUGGACAAUGGGGGCAACCCUGAUCCAGCAAUGCCGCGUGUAUGAAGAAGGUCUUCGGAUUGUAAAGUACUUUCAGUUGGGAGGAAGGCGUUGAUGCUAAUAUCAUCAACGAUUGACGUUACCAACAGAAGAAGCACCGGCUAACUCCGUGCCAGCAGCCGCGGUAAUACGGAGGGUGCAAGCGUUAAUCGGAAUUACUGGGCGUAAAGCGCACGCAGGCGGUUGAUUAAGUUAGAUGUGAAAUCCCCGGGCUUAACCUGGGAAUGGCAUCUAAGACUGGUCAGCUAGAGUCUUGUAGAGGGGGGUAGAAUUCCAUGUGUAGCGGUGAAAUGCGUAGAGAUGUGGAGGAAUACCGGUGGCGAAGGCGGCCCCCUGGACAAAGACUGACGCUCAGGUGCGAAAGCGUGGGGAGCAAACAGGAUUAGAUACCCGUGUAGUC